RNAcentral lists this ribosomal RNA (477 nucleotides) under uncultured bacterium. RNAcentral describes it as "bacterial SSU rRNA". It matches the Rfam family "Bacterial small subunit ribosomal RNA", at positions 26 to 518 of the family's 1533-position model. The record is from RNAcentral.
AUGGCUACAGGAUUAACGCUGGCGGCGUGCCUAAUACAUGCAAGUCGGAUGGUUAGCUUGCUAACCAUGGCGAACGGGUGAGUAACACGUAGGUAACCUGUCUUAAAGACGAGGAUAACCAUUGGAAACGAUGGAUAAUACUGGAUAGGAUAUAUAAGGGCAUCCUGAUAUAUUUAAAGAUUUAUCACUUUAUGAGGGGCCUGCGGCGCAUUAGUUAGAUGGCGGUGUAAAGGACCACCAUGACGAUGAUGCGUAGCCGGACUGAGAGGUUGAACGGCCACAAUGGGACUGAGAACGGCCCAUACUCCUACGGGAGGCAGCAGUAGGGAAUUUUCGGCAAUGGACGGAAGUCUGACCGAGCAACGCCGCGUGAACGAAGAAGUAUUUCGGUAUGUAAAGUUCUUUUAUUUGGGAAGAAAAGAUAAGAUUGACUGUACCAAAUGAAUAAGCUCCGGCUAACUACGUGCCAGCCGCCGC